Molecule: ribosomal RNA, 253 nt
Filed under: uncultured bacterium
Lineage: Bacteria
Description: partial 16S ribosomal RNA
Rfam family: Bacterial small subunit ribosomal RNA
Source: RNAcentral
GACGAGGGGUCCUAGCGUUGUUCGGAAUCAUUGGGCGUAAAGCGUGUGUAGGCGGCCAUUCAAGUCAGUUGUGAAAUCCCCGGGCUUAACCCGGGAAGUGCUUCUGAUACUGUUUGGCUUGAGUACUGGAGAGGAUAGUAGAAUUCCUGGUGUAGUGGUGAAAUACGUAGAUAUCAGGAGGAAUACCGGUGGCGAAGGCGGCUUCCUGGACCUGUUCUGACACUGAGGAGCGAAAGCGUGGGGAGCGAUCCGG